GACAAACUUAUUGGUGUUCACUGCACCCAUGGGUUAAACAGGGCUGGCUACCUCAUUUGCAGUGUACCCAGGUCAAGUGGUUUUGAAGACUCAGCACAUUUCAUGCAGCCAGUCCACCCCAUGAAUUAGCCUGUUAAACAAAGCCCUAGGUGUAAUCUACAUGGGAUCCAGGGUCACUCAACUCCUCGGCAUUUCCACGCUCAGACCCCACAUUUGCAACAGUGAGUCAGAAUGUUUUCACAGAAUCCAAAUGUUUACCAGAGAGGCCAUAUCCCUCUUCCUGGUCCCUCUGAAGAAGAUUAUUCACACAGGAGGUACACUUGGAAUGUGAAGCCAAGUGCCAGUUGAGCAGCCCAGGAGAGAAGGAGGUGGUAUCCUGACAAUUACUGCGAACGAUCCUAUCCAGCCUAUUGGAAAUGGACUCUGUGAUACAAACCUGGCCUGGAAUUCUACCUGGUGACCAGAGCUGGCUUGAAGAUCGCUGGUGAUCAGAUCUAAUGAGGUUUCUUUAUUGUUUCCUUUUGUGUUUAAGCUUAAGGAAAAAUUAUAUUGCUGUUUACCUCACUAGGAAAGUGGCACAGUGUUACUGGCUUGUGUGUGGUUGUGAAGGUGAACUGAAAUAGUGCAUCUCAGUGGCCCGUGCAUAGGUGUUGAGUCAACGGUGAUCUAUACUCCAGGGUCUUUUCUGGGUCAGCUUCAGGCUGCUGCAAUUCACUUGGCUGGGUCCCAGGUUUUUAGCUGCACCUAUAACUGUGAGCCCUUCCCCUGGUGGUAGAUUGCCCUGUUUUGUACUGACCUUUCCCAACUGUGAUCAUAUAUGUAUAAGGUAACCCAAAGCUGUUGGAGAUGAGUCCUGAA
This is a non-coding RNA of Callithrix jacchus (white-tufted-ear marmoset), 858 nucleotides long. Lineage: Eukaryota; Metazoa; Chordata; Mammalia; Primates; Cebidae. The record is from RefSeq and is a predicted model, not a curated record.